Molecule: long non-coding RNA, 2100 nt
Organism: Bicyclus anynana (squinting bush brown)
Lineage: Eukaryota; Metazoa; Arthropoda; Insecta; Lepidoptera; Nymphalidae
Exons: 2
Source: RefSeq, a predicted model, not a curated record
CCUACUAAUUCUCAUUAUUAAGUGUAAUAAUGUAUGUAUUAAUUAACUCCCAAGAGCUAAACUGAUUUACUCUUUGUCUUUGCUAUUGAAGAAAUUCAAUAAUCUAAAUGAAGAUAUUCCCAGCCUAUACAUAUAUUAAUUUACUCUUUGUUCCCGGCUCUUUCGGCUCCAGGGUUCCCAACUUAGGGGUUUUCCCCCCAGAUUUAGGGGGCAAAUAAGUGAAACGGGAUUUUUUUAGGGGUCUGAAAUUUUUAGGGGUAUUUUCAGGGAUUUUUUGACUCUUUAAUAUUUUUAAAUUGAUGAUAAUUUUAAUAUUUCUUUCUUGGCUUAGCGACUUAUAACUACAUAUAAUACGUUAUUCUACAACCACUCCGAGGUAAUUGGAGGCAAUUUUCAUCGAAUAAAAAAAAUUGGUAAAUUUAUUCAUUGUCAACAUGUAUGAUUUCAAAAAAUCUGAAUCUUCAGAUAAAGACGUAGUAUUUUGUCUGUAUUAAAUAUAGACUUUUGAAACAUAUGACAGCAUAUUAUUUCUAAAUUAUUAUGAAUUUAUAUUUUUUAGGGGGACAACUCAAUAAUUAAGGCGAUUUUAGGGGUUUUUGACACCAACUUUAGGGAUAAAUAUUUUGGAGAGUUGGUAACACUGUUCGGCUCAUGCUAAGAUAAGACUCUAAAAGAACUGUAAGGAUUUAAUUCCCACAUUAUUUCCCAUUUAUUUGUUUCAUAAAAAAUGAAUAGUCACAGUACUGUAAAUCUUAAGAAGAAAGAAAGAAAGACCAACUAUUCUGAGGACUGAGUAAUAAAAAGUGUUAGGCAGGAGAUCCUCUCUCUCCAAAGCCAUUCUCAGCUGUACUAGGAUCAAUGUUUAUUCUCCAUUGGAAAAAUUCUGGGAUCAAUGUCAAUAAUUUGCAUGACAAAUUGGCAAGAUACAUUUACCAUUUACAUCAACUGACUACCUGUAUAUAUAUGUAUGCAUGUACAUAUCUGCAAAUAAAAAAAAUAUUGAUUGAUUGAUUUACAGUAUCUCUUUAUAAUUAUUCUUUUGAGGUUUGUAGACGAUAAAGUGUUAUUUUAUUUGGUAAUAUAUCAGAUUACAUUGAUUGAUGAAUGACCUGGCAAUAAAAAAUGAGAGUUGAAUAUCCAAAAAAACAAGAAUAAGGACUUGUGGAGAGAAAAAACCUAAAUCUCCUACUCAUAAUAAACAACAUCUCCUAUCCCAUCCCCUGAUGAAGGGACAGUUAGUCAAAAAGGAUCAUGAAAGCAAACAAAGAGAGAAUUUAACACAGUGACUGGAAGAGAUACUGGUGUUUUUAAAGAAAGUUUGAAUGAUGGGAUAAAGACCAAAAGCAUACUUUUUAAUAAAUGUGUAAUACAUGUGGGUGUUGACAAAACACAAUAAACAAACUCGCGACCUGUCAACAGGCAAAGAGAAGGAGCAUGUUAAAUGUAAAGAAGUCAAGCAGAGAGAAAAACAUGUCAAAUAAAGCACAUAUAACAUACAAAAUAAGUAGGCUCAAAUGGCAAUAGGCAGGGCACAUGAUAAGAGAACAAGACAAAUGAAGAGAAUUUGUGAAAAAAGAAGAAGAGAAAGAUGGGAUGGCAAUGUUAAACCACUAGCAGGCGUGUUGUGGGAACAGAGUGCCUGAAGAAAGUCAGGUGUGGUCUGGGUUGGAGGAGGUCUUUGCCGUCUGAUAAAUAGAUUUGUAAAAAUUAAGCAAGACAACUGCAAUACCAAACUAAACACAUAAAUUUUCUCAUUUAGAAGCGCCAUAAUGCUGCUGUCUACUGGUAGCUUUAAAUAGAGACGAGACGAAUAUCUUAGCAUUCCAUGGAUUCACCGUGCGGGUGCUGGGUCCAUCGCAUGGUAGAGAGAAGAACUCCGAGCAGAGUCCUGAACUUUGAAGAACUGAACUGAGUCGGAAUGUUAGUCUCCCACGGCUCAGUAAGCUCUACAAGUACUGUUCGCUUAGUUUGUUUGGACAAAAGGAAAAUGUCUGGUCUAGAUCUCGAAAUAGCCACAUCCGCUGGAAUUUUAUAAUGUUUCUCAUACGUAUCUAUUAAUAAAGUCCAAUCAGGUGCAGAACCUAAGAUUGGGUAAGGCUA